AUCCUACGGGGGGCAGCAGUGGGGAAUAUUGGGCAAUGGAGGCAACUCUUACCCAGCAAUGCCGCGUGAAUGAAGAAGGUCUUCGGAUUGUAAAGUUCUUUAAUUGGGGACGAAAAAAAUGACGGUACCCAAGGAAUAAGCCCCGGCUAACUACGUGCCAGCAGCCGCGGUAAUACGUAGGGGGCAAGCGUUAUCCGGAAUUAUUGGGUGUAAAGGGUGCGUAGACGGGACAGCAAGUUAGUUGUGAAAGCCCUCGGCUUAACUGAGGAACUGCAACUAAAACUAUUCUCCUUGAGUGUCGGAGG
Molecule: ribosomal RNA, 305 nt
Filed under: uncultured bacterium
Lineage: Bacteria
Description: bacterial SSU rRNA
Rfam family: Bacterial small subunit ribosomal RNA
Source: RNAcentral